UGAACGCUGGCGGCAGGCCUAACACAUGCAAGUCGAGCGGCAGCGGAAGGAAGCUUGCUUCCUUGCCGGCGAGCGGCGGACGGGUGAGUAAUGUCUGGGGAUCUGCCCGAUGGAGGGGGAUAACUACUGGAAACGGUAGCUAAUACCGCAUAACGUCGCAAGACCAAAGUGGGGGACCUUCGGGCCUCACACCAUCGGAUGAACCCAGAUGGGAUUAGCUAGUAGGCGGGGUAAAGGCCCACCUAGGCGACGAUCUCUAGCUGGUCUGAGAGGAUGACCAGCCACACUGGAACUGAGACACGGUCCAGACUCCUACGGGAGGCAGCAGUGGGGAAUAUUGCACAAUGGGGGAAACCCUGAUGCAGCCAUGCCGCGUGUAUGAAGAAGGCCUUCGGGUUGUAAAGUACUUUCAGCGGGGAGGAAGGCAGUGAACUUAAUACGUUCGCUGAUUGACGUUACCCGCAGAAGAAGCACCGGCUAACUCCGUGCCAGCAGCCGCGGUAAUACGGAGGGUGCAAGCGUUAAUCGGAAU
RNAcentral lists this ribosomal RNA (532 nucleotides) under Enterobacteriaceae bacterium AaM35a. RNAcentral's name for it is "bacterial SSU rRNA". It matches the Rfam family "Bacterial small subunit ribosomal RNA", at positions 30 to 551 of the family's 1533-position model. The record is from RNAcentral. Lineage: Bacteria; Pseudomonadati; Pseudomonadota; Gammaproteobacteria; Enterobacterales; Enterobacteriaceae.